ACAUUCUUGCCCACAAAUAGGAUGGUUU
RNAcentral lists this non-coding RNA (28 nucleotides) under Homo sapiens (human). Lineage: Eukaryota; Metazoa; Chordata; Mammalia; Primates; Hominidae. The record is from RNAcentral.